CAACAUGAUGAAUCCAUGAUAGGGACAUCUUAUACCCACAGUUGGUAAAUGAUGCGAAUUUGGCUCGGUAUUUUAGUAGAUGCUUCGAGUUUUCUGAAU
RNAcentral lists this small nucleolar RNA (99 nucleotides) under Coniochaeta ligniaria NRRL 30616. RNAcentral describes it as "A. fumigatus snoRNA Afu_335". It matches the Rfam family "A. fumigatus snoRNA Afu_335". Lineage: Eukaryota; Fungi; Ascomycota; Sordariomycetes; Coniochaetales; Coniochaetaceae. The record is from Rfam by way of RNAcentral.